Molecule: ribosomal RNA, 467 nt
Filed under: uncultured bacterium
Lineage: Bacteria
Description: partial 16S ribosomal RNA
Rfam family: Bacterial small subunit ribosomal RNA
Source: RNAcentral
GACGAACGCUGGCGGCGUGCUUAACACAUGCAAGUCGAACGGAAAGGCUCUGCUUUUGUGGGGUGCUCGAGUGGCGAACGGGUGAGUAACACGUGAGUAACCUGCCCUUGACUUUGGGAUAACUUCAGGAAACUGGGGCUAAUACCGGAUAGGAGCUCCUGCUGCAUGGUGGGGGUUGGAAAGUUUCGGCGGUUGGGGAUGGACUCGCGGCUUAUCAGCUUGUUGGUGGGGUAGUGGCUUACCAAGGCUUUGACGGGUAGCCGGCCUGAGAGGGUGACCGGCCAAAUUGGGACUGAGAUACGGCCCAGACCCCUACGGGAGGGAGCAGGGGGGAAUAUUGCACAAUGGGCGGAAGCCUGAUGCAGAAACGCCGGGGGCGGGAUGAGGGCCUUCGGGUUGUAAACCGCUUUCCCCUGGGACGAAGGGGGGGUGACGGUAAUGGGUAAAGAAGCACCGGCUAACUACGU